Molecule: ribosomal RNA, 694 nt
Filed under: uncultured bacterium
Lineage: Bacteria
Description: bacterial SSU rRNA
Rfam family: Bacterial small subunit ribosomal RNA
Source: RNAcentral
AACGCUAGCUACAGGCUUAACACAUGCAAGUCGAGGGGCAGCAGGGAUUUAGCUUGCUAAAUCCGCUGGCGACCGGCGCACGGGUGCGUAACGCGUAUCCAACUUUCCCGUUACUCAGGGAUAGCCUUCCGAAAGGGAGAUUAAUACCUGAUGGUGUUUGAAGUUCGCAUGUUCUUCAAACUAAAGAUUUAUCGGUAACGGAUAGGGAUGCGUGACAUUAGAUAGUAGGCGGGGUAACGGCCCACCUAGUCUACGAUGUCUAGGGGUUCUGAGAGGAAGGUCCCCCACACUGGAACUGAGACACGGUCCAGACUCCUACGGGAGGCAGCAGUGAGGAAUAUUGGUCAAUGGUCGGAAGACUGAACCAGCCAAGUAGCGUGAAGGAUGAAGGUUCUAUGGAUUGUAAACUUCUUUUAUACGGGAAUAAAACCUCCCACGUGUGGGAGCUUGUAUGUACCGUAUGAAUAAGCAUCGGCUAACUCCGUGCCAGCAGCCGCGGUAAUACGGAGGAUGCGAGCGUUAUCCGGAUUUAUUGGGUUUAAAGGGAGCGUAGACGGGAGAUUAAGUCAGUUGUGAAAGGCUGCGGCUCAACCGCAGCACUGCAGUUGAUACUGGUUUCCUUGAGUUCGGUUGAGGUGUAUGGAAUUCGUGGUGUAGCGGUGAAAUGCUUAGAUAUCACGAAGAACUCCGAUUG